Molecule: non-coding RNA, 90 nt
Organism: Mycena rebaudengoi
Lineage: Eukaryota; Fungi; Basidiomycota; Agaricomycetes; Agaricales; Mycenaceae
Source: the annotation of a GenBank genome assembly
GCCCCCGUCGAUUAAGUGGCAAAUCACUCACAGCACUUAAUGUGGUCGCACGCCUCCCGUGGGGCGGAGGUUCGAAUCCUCCCGAGGGCA